This 282-nucleotide ribosomal RNA is filed under the name uncultured bacterium. Its description in RNAcentral is "partial 16S ribosomal RNA". It matches the Rfam family "Bacterial small subunit ribosomal RNA", at positions 334 to 633 of the family's 1533-position model. The record is from RNAcentral.
UUGGCCUACGGGACGCAGCAGUGGGGAAUUUUGCGCAAUGGGGGAAACCCUGACGCAGCAACGCCGCGUGCGGGACGAAGGCCUUCGGGUUGUAAACCGCUUUCAGCAGGGACGAAUUCCGACGGUACCUGCAGAAGAAGCCCCGGCUAACUACGUGCCAGCAGCCGCGGUAAUACGUAGGAGGCGAGCGUUAUCCGGAUUCAUUGGGCGUAAAGCGCGCGUAGGCGGCGCGUCAAGCGGGACCUCUAACCCCGGGGCUCAACCCCGGGCUGGGUCCCGAAC